This 1633-nucleotide long non-coding RNA is filed under the name Homo sapiens (human). RNAcentral describes it as "HSALNT0291262". Lineage: Eukaryota; Metazoa; Chordata; Mammalia; Primates; Hominidae. The record is from RNAcentral.
AGUCGGGGUCCGAGGCUAGGUAGCGGCGCAGCAUGAACUCCUCGUACUUGUGCAUAAGCGGCGGGUCGGCGAGCAGCAAGCGGAUGUCGUGCGGGUUGAGUCGCUCGCUGCACUCGGGGCAGCUGAUGGGCACCCUGCUCUCGCUUAUCUCCAGGCGCAGGUAGUGGCGGAGGCAGUCCCGGCACGAGCGGUGCGGACAGCUGAGGAGGCGCGGGGCCCGCUCAGGCGGCAGCCGCACCAGGCACAGCGGACACUCCACCUCCUCCGCGCCCGGGCCACCGCCCUCCGCCGCCUCCUCAUCGUCGAACCCAGGCUCCGCCGCCGCCGCCGCGGCCUCCGCCUCGGCCUCGGCGGCCGGCUCGGCGGGCAGCGCCUCGGGCGGCGGGCCCUGGGCCGCGGCAGGGGCCGGGGCGGGCGGCGGCUGCGCAGCCGGGGGCGGCGGCUCGGCCUGCGGCUUGGCCCGGGCGCGGCGGCCGCGGGCCGAGGCAGAGAAGACGCUGUGCAAGGUGAGGCGCCGGCGCCGGCCGCCGCUGCGGCACUUAGGGUCGGGUGCGGCCGCAUGUAGCGAUGUGGAGCGCGGCGACUCGGAGUCCUUCUCGGAGCCCAUGGCCGGCAGAGGCCGAGGAGCCAGGGGCGCCCAAAGCCGAGCGGCAACGACGAAGUGAUUAUAAAGCCUCCGCCCCGCGCGCCGCUGCCCUGCGCAGGCGCUUCGCUCAAACACCUCACAACCCUUGCGCCCCGGUCUAGGAGUGCGCUGGGCAGGGCCGAGCGGGGUGGGGCCGAGCGAGCUGGGGCGGAGCUCCGCCUCCUGCCGGUCAGGUGGUUCCAGGGCCGCCAUGUUGCGGAGACUCUCAGAGAUCCUAGCCCGCUGCUCUCCCUGGUCUCCGCCUCCAAUUCCAUCACCAUGACACCCAAGGUGGACUUUUUGGUUUGCCGUUCCUCACAGGUUGAUUGCCACUUCCAGUAAAUGAUGGUUCAGUUACAUUAUUUAUAAAAAGCAGGCAGGGGUUGAUCAGAUGGUGACUCCCAACUGGUUCACCUUCCAACAUUUCUGUUUAUUAAGCAGACGGCAUAAAUUAAUAAAGAAUAUAUUCAUUCACUGAGCUUCUACAAAGUGCGAGGCAUUAGAAAAUAAAACAGACAAGGUCCCCUAUUGCAAGGGACUUCCAGAAUAAAGUCCAAAUUUCUUAGUCUAGCAUUCAGUGUUCUCUAUGUAUUUAAUAAACCCUAUGUAUAUAAUAGUCUAUUUCUAGGCUCACUUACCAUUCUAUCCUCCUGGUAUCUUGCUUACUUACCAAACUUGUGGAAGGAGACCCAGCGUUUUCUUGCCUGGCAGUGCCUUUGCCUUUCUUUUUCUAGUUCCCCAUUCCUCUGACUGGGGGAGGAUCUGGACCCUUAGGCUUCCUAGUGGGAGGCAGGCAAACAGCUUCAACAACAGGAAUGUAUCAGGAUUACAUUCAAUUGCAAAUAACAAAAGAAAAAAAUAGCUUACGAUUGAAAUUUAUUUAUUUUUUUUCCUGAGACGGUUUUGCUCUGUCACCCAGGUUGGAGUGCAGUGGCGUGAUCACAGCUCACUGAAGCCUCAACCUCCCAAGCUUAAGCGAUCCUCCCACCCCAACCUCUGGAGUAGCUG